AGCGAACGCUGGCGGCAGGCCUAACACAUGCAAGUCGAACGAACCUUUCGGGGUUAGUGGCGGACGGGUGAGUAACACGUGGGAACGUGCCUUUAGGUUCGGAAUAACUCAGGGAAACUUGUGCUAAUACCGAAUGUGCCCUUCGGGGGAAAGAUUUAUCGCCUUUAGAGCGGCCCGCGUCUGAUUAGCUAGUUGGUUGAGGUAAUGGCUCACCAAGGCGACGAUCAGUAGCUGGUCUGAGAGGAUGAUCAGCCACAUUGGGACUGAGGCACAGCCCAAACUCCUACGGGAGGCAGCAGUGGGGAAUCUUGCGCAAUGGGCGAAAGCCUGACGCAGCCAUGACGCGUGAAUGAUGAAGGUCUUAGGAUUGUAAAAUUCUUUCACCGGGGACGAUAAUGACGGUACCCGGAGAAGAAGCCCCGGCUAACUUCGUG
RNAcentral lists this ribosomal RNA (434 nucleotides) under uncultured bacterium. Its description in RNAcentral is "partial 16S ribosomal RNA". It matches the Rfam family "Bacterial small subunit ribosomal RNA", at positions 29 to 507 of the family's 1533-position model. The record is from RNAcentral.